UGCGCAGGCGGGCUAAUAAGUCAGUGGUGAAAUCUUCCGGCUCAACCGGGAACCUGCCAUUGAUACUGUUAGUCUUGAGUUCGGUUGAGGUAGGCGGAAUGUGUAAUGUAGCGGUGAAAUGCUUAGAUAUUACACAGAACACCAAUUGCGUAGGCAGCUUACUAGACCGACACUGACGCUGAGGCACGAAAGCGUGGGGAGCGAACAGGAUUAGAUACCCUGGUAGUC
This 228-nucleotide ribosomal RNA is filed under the name uncultured bacterium. Its description in RNAcentral is "partial 16S ribosomal RNA". It matches the Rfam family "Bacterial small subunit ribosomal RNA", at positions 568 to 795 of the family's 1533-position model. The record is from RNAcentral.